This 133-nucleotide small nucleolar RNA is filed under the name Hippocampus comes (tiger tail seahorse). RNAcentral describes it as "Small nucleolar RNA SNORA13 (ENSHCOG00000007446.1)". The record is from RNAcentral. Lineage: Eukaryota; Metazoa; Chordata; Actinopteri; Syngnathiformes; Syngnathidae.
UGCCUUGAUGUGUUGCCCUCUCAUUGGUCUAUGUAGUGACGAGGGUGUCAAAUGAGGCAUACACUGACUCUUGUGGCUGCUAUUGAAUUGAGUUUGAAAUGACUCCUUUGCAAGUGUUGCUGCAAGCACACUA